This 253-nucleotide ribosomal RNA is filed under the name uncultured bacterium. Its description in RNAcentral is "partial 16S ribosomal RNA". It matches the Rfam family "Bacterial small subunit ribosomal RNA", at positions 524 to 776 of the family's 1533-position model. The record is from RNAcentral.
UACGUAGGGGGCAAGCGUUGUCCGGAUUUAUUGGGCGUAAAGAGCGUGUAGGCGGCUUUGCAAGUCCGUUGUGAAAACUCGAGGCUCAACCUCGAGACGCCGGUGGAAACUGCAAAGCUAGAGUCCGGAAGAGGAGAGUGGAAUUCCUGGUGUAGCGGUGAAAUGCGCAGAUAUCAGGAAGAACACCCGUGGCGAAGGCGGCUCUCUGGGACGGUACUGACGCUGAGGCGCGAAGGCCAGGGGAGCAAACGGG